GAUGAACGCUGGCGGCGUGCCUAAUACAUGCAAGUCGAGCGAACGGACGAGAAGCUUGCUUUUCUGAUGUUAGCGGCGGACGUGUGAGUAACACGUGGAUAACCUACCUAUAAUACUGGGAUAACCUCGGGAAACCGGAUCUAAUACCGUAUAAUAUUUUGAACCGCAUGGUUCAAAAGUGAAAGACGGUCUUGCUGGCACUUAUAGAUGCAUCCCCGCUGCAUUAGCUAGUUGGUAAGGUAACGGCUUACCAAGGCAACGAUGCAUAGCCGACCUGAGAGAGUGAUAGGCCACACGGGAACUGAGACACCGUCCAGACUCCUACGAGACGCCGCAGUAGGGAAUCUUCCGCAAUAGGCGAAAGCCUGACGGAGCGACGGCGCGUGAGUGACGAAGGUCUUCGGAUCGUAAAACUCUGUUAUUAGUGAAGAACAUAUGUGUACGUAAAUGUGCACAUCUUGACGGUAACUAAUCAGAAAGCAACGGCUAACUACGUG
This 497-nucleotide ribosomal RNA is filed under the name uncultured bacterium. RNAcentral's name for it is "partial 16S ribosomal RNA". It matches the Rfam family "Bacterial small subunit ribosomal RNA", at positions 28 to 507 of the family's 1533-position model. The record is from RNAcentral.